Long non-coding RNA from Loxodonta africana (African savanna elephant), 3496 nucleotides. RefSeq lists it as uncharacterized. The transcript is spliced from 2 exons. The record is from RefSeq and is a predicted model, not a curated record. Lineage: Eukaryota; Metazoa; Chordata; Mammalia; Proboscidea; Elephantidae.
ACUAACCCUAACACUAACUGCUAACCCUAAACCCUAACCCUAACCCUAAACCCUAACACUAACCCUAACACUAACCAUGAACCCUAACCCUAAACUCUAACCAUCAGCCUAACCCAAAACCCUAACCCUAACCCUAAACUCUAGCCCUAAAACCCUAGCCCUAGACCUAGCCCUAACACCAAGCCCUAGCCCUAGCCCUAACCCUAACCCUAACCUCUAACCUCUAAAACUAACCCUAGCCCUAACCCUAAACCCUAAAUCCUAACCCUAAACCCAAACUCUAAACCUAACCCUGACUCUAACCCCUAACCCUGACCCAGACCCUGACCCUAAACCGUGACAAUGACCCUAAACCCUGACCAUGACCCUAACCCUGACCGUGACCCUAACCCUGACCCUAAACUCUGACCCUGACACUAAACACUGACUCUGACCCUGACCCUAAACUCUAUCACUAAACACUAAACCCUAACCCCUAGCCCUAACACAUAGCCCUAACCUUACCCCAACCCUAAUCCUAAACCCUAAACCCUAACCAUAAAAACAAACCCUAAACCUAACCCUGACCCUAACCCCUAACCCUGACCCUGACCCUGACCCUAAACCCUGACCAUAAACCCUGACCCUGACACUAAAAACUGACCCUGACCCUAAACUCGAACACUAAACCCUAAAACCUAACCUUAACCCCUAAACCCGAUCCCGAACCAUAACCCUAACACUAAACUAAACCCUAAACCCUAACCUGUGUAGGGAGUGAGGAGGUGGGAGGGACUAGGCUGGGCGCUGUGAAGGGACUCAGGAGGUGGGAGAGACCAUGCAGGGCCCUGUAUAGAGAGUGAGAGACCAGGCAGGGCACUGUACAGGGAGUAAGAUGGUGGGACAAAAGAGACAGAAACCUGUGUAGGGAGUGAAGAGCUGAGAGACCAGACAGAGACCUUUGUAGGGAGUGAGGAGGUGGGUGAGACCAGGCAGGGCCCUGAGUAGGGAGAGAGGAGAUGGAAGAGACCAGGCAGGGACAGGUGUAGGAAGUGAGGAGGUGGGAGGGACCAGGAAGGGCCCUGUGUAAGGAGUGAGGAUGUGGAAGAGAACAGGCGGAGAACUGUGUAGGGAGUAAGGAGGUGGGACAGACCAGGCAGAGACCUUUACAGGGAUGGAGGAGGUGGGAGAGAAAAGGCGGGGCCCUGAGUAGGGAGUGAGGAGCUGGGAGCAACCAGGCACGGCCAUGUCUAGGGAGUGAGGAGGUGGGAGAGGUCAGGCAGGGACCUGUGUAGGGAGUUAGGCCUUAGGAGAGACCAGGCAGAGACCUGCAUAGGGAGUGAGGAGGUGAGAGAGACCAGGUAGGAUGCUGUGUAAAGAGUGAGGAUGUAGGAGAGACCAGGCAGGGCCCUGUGUAAGGAGUGAUGAGGUGGGAGAGACGAAGCAGGGACCUGUGUAGGGAGUGAGGAAGUGGGAGAGGCCAGGCAGAGACCUGUGUAGGGAGUGAGGAGGUGGGAGAGAAUAGGCAGAAACCUGUGUAGGGAUUGAGAAGAUGGUAGACAGCAGGCAGGGCCCUGUGUAGGGAGUGAAGAGGUGGGAGAACCAUUCAGAGACCUGCAUAGGGAGUGAGGAGAUGGGAGAGACCAGGAAGGGCCCUCCGUAGGGAGUGAGUUGGCCAGAGAUCAGGCAUGUCCCUGUAUGGAGUAAGGAUAUGGGAGAGACCAGGCAGGGCCCUGUGCAGGGAGUUAGGAGGUGGGAGAGAAGAGGCAGAGAAGAGUGUAGGGAGUGAGGAGGUGGGACAGACCAGGCAGGGCUCUGUGCAUAGAGAAGAUGGGAGACACCAGACAGGGCCCUGUGUAGGGAGUGAAGAAGAGGGAGACCCAGGCAGAGUCCUGCUUAGGGAGUGAGGAGAUGAGAGAGACCAGGCAGAGCCAAGUAUAGGGAGUGAGGAUAUGGGAGAGACCAGGCAGGCCCUGUGUAAGGAGUGAUGAGGUGGGAGAGACCAAGCAGGACCCUGUGCAGGGUGUGAGGGGGAGGGAGCAUCCAGGCAGGGCCCUGUGGAGGGAGUGAGGUGUUGGGAGAGACCACACAGGUCCUGUGUAGGGAGCGAGAAUGUGCCAGAGAUCAGGCAGGGCCCUGUGUAGAGAGUGAGGAGGUGGGAGAGAACAGACAGAGACAUAUGUAGGGAGUAAGCAGAAGGGAGACACCAGGCAGAGCCCUCUGUAGGGAGUGAGGAGGAGGGACAUACCAGGCAGGGCCCUGUGUAAGGAGUGAGGAGGUGGGAGAAUCCAGGCAGACACCUGUGUAGGGAGUGAGGAGCUGGAAGAGACCAGGCAGGGACCUGUGUAGGUCCUGAGGAGGUGGGAGAGGCCAGGCAGCGUCCUGUGUAGGGAGUGAGAAGGUGGGAGAGACCAGGCAGGGCCCUAUGUUGGGAGUGAGGAUGCAGGAGAGAAGAGGCAGAGAUGUGGGAGAGACCAGGCAAAGACCUGUGAAGGGACUGAGGAGGUGGGAGAGACCUGGCAGGGCCCAGUGUAGGGAGUGAGUAUCUUGGAGAGAAGAGGCAGAGACCUGUGUAGGGAUUGAGAAGAAGGAGAGACCAGGCCGGGCCCUGUGGAGGGAGUGAGGAGGUGGGAGAGGCCAGGCAGAGCCCUGUGUAGCGAGUGAGGUGUUAGGAGAGACCAGGCAGGGCCCUGUGUACGGAGUGAUGAGGUGAGAGAGACCAGGUAGGACCCUGUGUACAGAGUGAGGAUGUGGAAGAGAACAGGCAAGGCUGUGUGUAGGAAGUAAGGUGGUGGAGAUACCAGUCAGGGACCUGUGUAGGGAUUGAGGAAGUGGGAGAGACCAGGCAGGACCCUGUGUAGGGAGUGAGGAGGUGGGAGAGACCAUCAGGGCCCUGUGUAGGGAGUGAGGAAGUGAUAGAGAACAGGUAAGGCCCUGCAUACACAGUGAGGAGUUGGGAGAGACCACCCAGAUACCUGAGUAGGGAGUCAGGAUGUGGGAGAGAUCAGGCAGAGCCCUGUGUAGGAAGUGAGGUGUUAGGAGAGACCAGGCAGGGCCCUGUGUAGGGAGUGAGGAGGUGGGAGAGACCAGGCAGUGGCUUGUUUAGGGAGUGAGCAGGUGCGAGAGAACAUCAGGGCCCUGUGUAGGGAGUGAGGAGGAGGGAGAAAACAGGCUAACACCUGUGUAUGUAGUAAGGAGGUGGGAAAGACCACCCAGAGACCUGUGUAGGGAUUGAGGAAUGGGAGGGAACAGGCAGAGAACUGUGUAGGGAGUGAGGAGGUAGGAGAGACCAGGCAAGGCCCUGUGUAGGGAGCGAAGAGGUGGAGAACCAGGCAGAGUCCUGCAUAGGGAGUGAGAAGGCGAGAGAGGACAGGCAGAGCCCUGCGUAGGGAGUGAGGAGGUGGGAUUGACUAGGCAGGACCCUGGGUAGGGUGUGAGGAGGUGGGAGAUUCCAGGCAGGGCCCUUUGUAGGGAGUGAGGUGUUGGGAGAGACCAGGCAGAGUCCUGUGUAGGGAGU